GCCAGCUAUUAGAACAACAUCCAAAGUUGAUGCAGCUGCUUCAGGAGAGAUUGGGCCAUCUGUAAGUGGGAUACCAGUGGAAUCAUCGCUAUGUUCUGGCUUCUUGUCUUUAUGCCUAUAGAAUAUGUAUAAAGAAGCUUUGGAGAAAGAGUGUUCACCCUCUUGUACAGAAAAUGUUGUGUUAAUGGCACAAUCAAAUGUUUAUAAACCUUUUAUGUCAUUGUACAUUAUAUUUAGUUUGUUAGCUUGAGAUCUUUUUGUCAGUUGAUAUGUUCAACUAAAGUUUUUU
This 289-nucleotide unclassified non-coding RNA is filed under the name Hevea brasiliensis (rubber tree). Lineage: Eukaryota; Viridiplantae; Streptophyta; Magnoliopsida; Malpighiales; Euphorbiaceae. The record is from RNAcentral.